UGGGGAAUAUUGCGCAAUGGGCGAAAGCCUGACGCAGCCACGCCGCGUGAGUGAUGAAGGCCUUCGGGUUGUAAAGCUCUGUCGGGAGGGACGAAAGGAGCAAUCCUUGACGGUACCUCGCAAGAAAGCACCGGCUAACUCUGUGCCAGCAGCCGCGGUAAUACAGAGGGUGCAAGCGUUGCUCGGAUUUACUGGGCGUAAAGCGUACGCAGACGGUGAGAAAGGUCGGAUGUGAAAGCCCCGGGCUCAACCCGGGAACUGCAUCCGAAACCAUCUCGCUAGAGUAUGAGAGAGGGAGGCAGGAAUUCCUGGUGUAGAGGUGAAGUUCGUAGAUAUCAGGAGGAAUACCUGCGGCGAAGGCGGCUUCCUGACUCAUUACUGACGUUCAGGUACGAAGCGUGGGUAGCAACAGGAUUAGAUACCUGGUAGUCCACGCUGUAAACGAUGUGUGCUGGAU
Molecule: ribosomal RNA, 457 nt
Filed under: uncultured Pseudomonadota bacterium
Lineage: Bacteria; Pseudomonadati; Pseudomonadota
Description: bacterial SSU rRNA
Rfam family: Bacterial small subunit ribosomal RNA
Source: RNAcentral